CGGGACAUCAAGGAAUGGCAACAACUUACCGUGCUUCAGACGCUUCCCACCGUCGCAUGGGGUUCAGGGGGUCGCGGGUUCAAAUCCCGCCGUCCCGA
This 98-nucleotide transfer RNA is filed under the name Gemmatimonadota bacterium. RNAcentral's name for it is "Gemmatimonadetes bacterium (soil metagenome) tRNA-Leu". It matches the Rfam family "tRNA". From Rfam's summary of the family: Transfer RNA (tRNA) molecules are approximately 80 nucleotides in length. Lineage: Bacteria; Pseudomonadati; Gemmatimonadota. RNAcentral also lists the same sequence under 1 other name. The record is from RNAcentral.